CCUACGGGUGGCAGCAGUGGGGAAUAUUGCACAAUGGGGGGAACCCUGAUGCAGCGACGCCGCGUGAGUGAAGAAGUAUUUCGGUAUGUAAAGCUCUAUCAGCAGGGAAGAAAAUGACGGUACCUGACUAAGAAGCCCCGGCUAACUACGUGCCAGCAGCCGCGGUAAUACGUAGGAGGCAAGCGUUAUCCGGAUUUACUGGGUGUAAAGGGAGCGCAGACGGCUGUGCAAGUCUGGAGUGAAAGGCGGGGGCCCAACCCCCGGACUGCUCUGGAAACUGUAAAGCUGGAGUGCAGGAGAGGUAAGCGGAAUUCCUAGUGUAGCGGUGAAAUGCGGAGAUAUUAGGAGGAACACCAGUGGCGAAGGCGGCUUACUGGACUGCAACUGACGUUGAGGCUCGAAAGCGUGGGGAGCAAACAGGAUUAGAUACCCGAGUAGUC
Molecule: ribosomal RNA, 440 nt
Filed under: uncultured bacterium
Lineage: Bacteria
Description: partial 16S ribosomal RNA
Rfam family: Bacterial small subunit ribosomal RNA
Source: RNAcentral